RNAcentral lists this transfer RNA (73 nucleotides) under Orbicella faveolata. Its description in RNAcentral is "tRNA-Thr". It matches the Rfam family "tRNA". Rfam says of the family: Transfer RNA (tRNA) molecules are approximately 80 nucleotides in length. Their secondary structure includes four short double-helical elements and three loops (D, anti-codon, and T loops). Further hydrogen bonds mediate the characteristic L-shaped molecular structure. tRNAs have two regions of fundamental functional importance: the anti-codon, which is responsible for specific mRNA codon recognition, and the 3' end, to which the tRNAs corresponding amino acid is attached (by aminoacyl-tRNA synthetases). tRNAs cope with the degeneracy of the genetic code in two manners: having more than one tRNA (with a specific anti-codon) for a particular amino acid; and 'wobble' base-pairing, i.e. permitting non-standard base-pairing at the 3rd anti-codon position. The record is from RNAcentral. Lineage: Eukaryota; Metazoa; Cnidaria; Anthozoa; Scleractinia; Merulinidae.
GGCUUGAUAGCUCAGUUGGUAGAGCACUGCACCAGUAUUGCAGAGGUCAUGGGUUUGAAUUCCAUUCGGGCCU